GACAGAGGGUGCAAACGUUGUUCGGAAUUACUGGGCGUAAAGCGCGUGUAGGCGGCUAAGUAAGUCGGGCGUGAAAUCCCACGGCUCAACCGUGGAAGUGCACUCGAAACUGCAUAGCUAGAGUCCUGGAGAGGAAGGUGGAAUGCUUGGUGUAGAGGUGAAAUUCGUAGAUAUCAAGCGGAACACCGGUGGCGAAGGCGGCCUUCUGGACAGUGACUGACGCUGAGACGGCGAAAAGCGUGGGGAGCAACAGG
Molecule: ribosomal RNA, 254 nt
Filed under: uncultured bacterium
Lineage: Bacteria
Description: partial 16S ribosomal RNA
Rfam family: Bacterial small subunit ribosomal RNA
Source: RNAcentral